AAAAAUUAUCCUUGGGUGAGGAUUAACAACAAAAAUUUACUGGGUUAAAAGAUUAUUGUUUAUUUUAAAUGUUGAUGGAUACUGACCUAUAAAAGUUGAAAAUGUACUUCCACCAAUAGUGUUUGAGAGUCCCUGUUUCACUGUAUCUUUGCCAAUUAAACUCAUCUCCAGCUGGACUAUAUCUCUGGUCUUAUCAAACUUGUAAAAUUUGCCAAUCUUUUAGUUUAAAAAGACUUUAUAUAACUAUAUUAACUUUUGUAUUUUAACAGAAUUUGUGUAUUUUUUCAUGUGUAUUAGAUAUUUAAAUUUUUUCCUGAGUUUUUUUUUUUUUUUUUUUUGAUGUUUUUACUUUAAAAAAUGUUAAUAGUUAAAGGUCAUUAAAAUUUGAUUGUGUCUAAUUGUCAAGUAUGACCAUGUAAUCUUGAGAUUCUAUACUGCAUUGAGGUUGUCAAUAAGCAGAACAUAACAUUUAGUUGCAGCCUAAGCUGAAGCCAUUGGAAUGUAUGAUAUAAUUUAGUGAUUGAUUGUUGUGAGAAAUUUUUCAGUGUACUGAUUUCUAACAAACUUUAAUUGGCAUAUAUAUCUUAUUUGUGCUAUUAGAGAAAUUAUAGCUGAAUAACUGGAAAUAGUGCUUUCCAUUAGCUAACUUUUUCUUAUAUUGUUAUUUUUAUGUUUUCAAAUAAAGUGCCUCUGAUUGGA
This is a long non-coding RNA of Pipistrellus kuhlii (Kuhl's pipistrelle), 699 nucleotides long. RefSeq lists it as uncharacterized. The transcript has 2 exons. NCBI's taxonomy places the organism in Eukaryota, Metazoa, Chordata, Mammalia, Chiroptera, Vespertilionidae. The record is from RefSeq and is a predicted model, not a curated record.